AGUGAACGCUGGCGGUAGGCCUAACACAUGCAAGUCGAACGGCAGCACAGUAAGAGCUUGCUCUUACGGGUGGCGAGUGGCGGACGGGUGAGGAAUACAUCGGAAUCUACUUUUUCGUGGGGGAUAACGUAGGGAAACUGACGCUAAUACCGCAUACGACCUACGGGUGAAAGCAGGGGAUCUUCGGACCUUUCGCGAUUGAAUGAGCCGAUGUCGGAUUAGCUAGUUGGCGGGGUAAAGGCCCACCAAGGCGACGAUCCGUAGCUGGUCUGAGAGGAUGAUCAGCCACACUGGAACUGAGACACGGUCCAGACUCCUACGGGAGGCAGCAGUGGGGAAUAUUGGACAAUGGGCGAAAGCCUGAUCCAGCCAUACCGCGUGGGUGAAGAAGGCCUUCGGGUUGUAAAGCUCUUUUGUUGGGAAAGAAAAGCAGCAGGUUAAUACCCGGAUGUUCUGACGGUACCCAAAGAAUAAGCAACGGCUAACUUCGUG
RNAcentral lists this ribosomal RNA (492 nucleotides) under uncultured bacterium. RNAcentral describes it as "partial 16S ribosomal RNA". It matches the Rfam family "Bacterial small subunit ribosomal RNA", at positions 29 to 507 of the family's 1533-position model. The record is from RNAcentral.